GACGGGGGAUGCAAGCGUUAUCCGGAAUCACUGGGCGUAAAGCGUCUGCAGGCGGUUUCCUAAGUCCACUGUUAAACCUUGAGGCUCAACCUCAAAUCUGCAUUGGAAACUAGGAGACUUGAGUAUAGUAGGGGUAGAGGGAAUUUCCAGUGGAGCGGUGAAAUGCGUAGAUAUUGGAAAGAACACCGAUGGCGAAGGCGCUCUACUGGGCUAUUACUGACACUCAGAGACGAAAGCUAGGGGAGCAAAUGGG
Molecule: ribosomal RNA, 253 nt
Filed under: uncultured bacterium
Lineage: Bacteria
Description: partial 16S ribosomal RNA
Rfam family: Bacterial small subunit ribosomal RNA
Source: RNAcentral